UCGGGAAUUUUGGGCAAUGGGCGAAAGCCUGACCCAGCAACGCCGCGUGAAGGAUGAAGUAUUUCGGUAUGUAAACUUCGAAAGAAUAGGAAGAAUAAAUGACGGUACUAUUUAUAAGGUCCGGCUAACUACGUGCCAGCAGCCGCGGUAAUACGUAGGGACCAAGCGUUGUUCGGAUUUACUGGGCGUAAAGGGCGCGUAGGCGGCAAUUCAAGUCAUCUGCGAAAUCUCCGGGCUUAACUCGGAACGGUCAGAUGAUACUGCUUUGCUAGAGUGCAGAAGGGGCAAUCGGAAUUCUUGGUGUAGCGGUGAAAUGCGUAGAUAUCAAGAGGGACACCUGAGGUGAAGACGGGUUGCUGGGCUGACACUGACGCUGAGGCGCGAAAGCCAGGGGAGCAAACGGGAUUAGAUACCCUUGUAGUCCCUGAGCGGGCUGGCAAGGCGCAU
Molecule: ribosomal RNA, 447 nt
Filed under: uncultured bacterium
Lineage: Bacteria
Description: bacterial SSU rRNA
Rfam family: Bacterial small subunit ribosomal RNA
Source: RNAcentral